GCACUGCCCGCGAGCGCUGGGGCUGCAGUGCCUGUGCGGGCCAGUAGGGGGCGGACCGCCCGUCCUGCCCUCUGGCGUCACGCCCGCGGCGCCCUGCAGUGAGACGACGCGGCACCGCCUCCCUUAGCGCAGCCGCGCAUGCGCCAGCUCGCUGGGGACUGCCGUCGAGGGCGAGUGGGGCUUUCCUGUGCACACACCUGAGGCCCCGAGGUUGGAUAUGUCAAGUGGCCAGAUAACUGCCAAUCUUGCAAGCAGUUAUUAAUGAUGUCUGUAGGCACAGACCACUGAGUUUGGGUCCCUUUGUGGUACGUGCUUUUCUUCGUAGUUCAACAAGUGAAGGUUUGUUACUAAAGAUUGAUCCAUUGUUGCCUAAAGAAGUAAAAACCGAAGAAAGUAGCAAAGAAGCUGCCUAAAUGUGUUGAAUUGUGAAAUUAUUUUUUAGUGGAUUAGGAAGCAACAGAGAAAAUUAUAAAACUGCAUAAUUUCUACAUUUGGUGUCUUAUUGUCUUGUUAUUUCUUGACCAUCAUACUUGAAAGUGAAUUUCAACACUGAAAAAUCUUACACAAUUUCACGAAUAAGAAAAUAAAAUUUUCCCUAUGUCUGAACCUGC
Non-coding RNA from Microcebus murinus (gray mouse lemur), 611 nucleotides. NCBI's taxonomy places the organism in Eukaryota, Metazoa, Chordata, Mammalia, Primates, Cheirogaleidae. The record is from RefSeq and is a predicted model, not a curated record.